This 1490-nucleotide ribosomal RNA is filed under the name uncultured organism. Its description in RNAcentral is "SSU rRNA". It matches the Rfam family "Bacterial small subunit ribosomal RNA". The record is from RNAcentral.
GAACGCUGGCGGCGUGCCUAAUACAUGCAAGUCGAACGAGUUCUGAUUAUUGAAAGGUGCUUGCAUCUUGAUUUAAUUUUGAACGAGUGGCGGACGGGUGAGUAACACGUGGGUAACCUGCCCUUAAGUGGGGGAUAACAUUUGGAAACAGAUGCUAAUACCGCAUAAAUCCAAGAACCGCAUGGUUCUUGGCUGAAAGAUGGCGUAAGCUAUCGCUUUUGGAUGGACCCGCGGCGUAUUAGCUAGUUGGUGAGGUAACGGCUCACCAAGGCAAUGAUACGUGGCCAAACUGAGAGGUUGAUCGGCCACAUUGGGACUGAGACACGGCCCAAACUCCUACGGGAGGCAGCAGUAGGGAAUCUUCCACAAUGGACGCAAGUCUGAUGGAGCAACGCCGCGUGAGUGAAGAAGGCUUUCGGGUCGUAAAACUCUGUUGUUGGAGAAGAAUGGUCGGCAGAGUAACUGUUGUCGGCGUGACGGUAUCCAACCAGAAAGCCACGGCUAACUACGUGCCAGCAGCCGCGGUAAUACGUAGGUGGCAAGCGUUAUCCGGAUUUAUUGGGCGUAAAGCGAGCGCAGGCGAUUUUUUAAGUCUGAUGUGAAAGCCCUCGGCUUAACCGAGGAAGUGCAUCGGAAACUGGGAAACUUGAAUGCAAAAUACGACAGUGGAACUCCAUGUGUAGCGGUGAAAUGCGUAGAUAUAUGGAAGAACACCAGUGGCGAAGGCGGCUGUCUGGUCUGUAACUGACGCUGAGGCUCGAAAGCAUGGGUAGCGAACAGGAUUAGAUACCCUGGUAGUCCAUGCCGUAAACGAUGAAUGCUAGGUGUUGGAGGGUUUCCGCCCUUCAGUGCCGCAGCUAACGCAUUAAGCAUUCCGCCUGGGGAGUACGACCGCAAGGUUGAAACUCAAAGGAAUUGACGGGGGCCCGCACAAGCGGUGGAGCAUGUGGUUUAAUUCGAAGCAACGCGAAGAACCUUACCAGGUCUUGACAUCUUUUGAUCACCUGAGAGAUCAGGUUUCCCCUUCGGGGGCAAAAUGACAGGUGGUGCAUGGUUGUCGUCAGCUCGUGUCGUGAGAUGUUGGGUUAAGUCCCGCAACGAGCGCAACCCUUAUGACUAGUUGCCAGCAUUUAGUUGGGCACUCUAGUAAGACUGCCGGUGACAAACCGGAGGAAGGUGGGGAUGACGUCAAAUCAUCAUGCCCUUAUGACCUGGGCUACACACGUGCUACAAUGGAUGGUACAACGAGUUGCGAGACCGCGAGGUCAAGCUAAUCUCUUAAAGCCAUUCUCAGUUCGGACUGUAGGCUGCAACUCGCCUACACGAAGUCGGAAUCGCUAGUAAUCGCGGAUCAGCACGCCGCGGUGAAUACGUUCCCGGGCCUUGUACACACCGCCCGUCACACCAUGAGAGUUUGUAACACCCGAAGCCGGUGGCGUAACCCUUUUAGGGAGCGAGCCGUCUAAGGUGGGACAAAUGAUUAGGGUGAA